UUGCUUGGGCUUCUCUUCAUCACGUACAAAUCGUUUAGCUUUUACUAAAGAUUUCCAUGGAGAGGGUCAACAAGCUCACAUUUUUGGAGCUCUGUUUUGACAGAGCU
Molecule: small nuclear RNA, 107 nt
Gene: U5
Rfam family: U5 spliceosomal RNA
About the family: U5 RNA is a component of both types of known spliceosome.
Source: Ensembl